GAAGCGAGACGGAGACGUUAAGCGAACCCAAAAAAGUAAGUCUCAGUUCGGAUUGAAGGCUGAAAUUCGCCUUCAUGAAGCCGGAAUUGCUAGUAAUGGCAGGUCAGCAUACUGCCGUGAAUACGUUCCCGGGCCUUGUACACACCGCCCGUCACACCAUGAGAGUUGGGAAUACCCGAAGCCUGUGGGCUAACGUAAGAGGCAGCAGUCGAAGGUAGAAUCAAUGAUUGGGGUGAAGUCGUAACAAGGUAGC
This 253-nucleotide ribosomal RNA is filed under the name uncultured bacterium. Its description in RNAcentral is "partial 16S ribosomal RNA". It matches the Rfam family "Bacterial small subunit ribosomal RNA", at positions 1246 to 1500 of the family's 1533-position model. The record is from RNAcentral.